This 594-nucleotide ribosomal RNA is filed under the name uncultured Glomus. Its description in RNAcentral is "eukaryotic LSU rRNA". It matches the Rfam family "Eukaryotic large subunit ribosomal RNA", at positions 204 to 637 of the family's 3401-position model. Lineage: Eukaryota; Fungi; Glomeromycota; Glomeromycetes; Glomerales; Glomeraceae. The record is from RNAcentral.
CAUGGAGGGUGAGAAUCCCGUCUUUGACACGGACUACCAGGGCUUUGUGAUGCACUCUCAAAGAGUCGAGUUGUUUGGGAAUGCAGCUCCAAAUGGGAGGUAAAUUUCUCCUAAGGCUAAAUAUUGGCGAGAGACCGAUAGCGAACAAGUACCGUGAGGGAAGGAUGAAAAGAACUUUGAAAAGAGAGUUAAACAGUACGUGAAAUUGUUGAAAGGGAAACGAUUAAAGUCAGUCAUACCUUCGAGGAAUCAACCUUUUUGGUGCGAAUCUUGUGGGUUUUGAGGAGCCUUAACAUGGGGCCUUCGGGUUCGCAAAUUUGUGGCAUUUGGGCGUACUUUCUCGUAUGGUAGGUUAACAUCGAUUUUGAUCUCUACAAAAUGAUCGGAGGAACGUAGCUUCGGACUCGUUUCGAAGUGUUAUAGCCUUUGGUAGAUGUAAUGAACAGGAUCGAGGAUUGCAACGAAUACCCAUCAGGGCUAUCCGUCUGAUCUCUGACACGUUGUCCCGAUGUCGAAAGCGUGCUUACGAUGUUGAGAUAUUACGGUCAAUAGGUUAGAACGAGAUUACAUUCGUUAAGGAUGUUGACGUAAUGG